Nerophis ophidion (straightnose pipefish) is the source of this 1121-nucleotide long non-coding RNA. RefSeq lists it as uncharacterized. NCBI's taxonomy places the organism in Eukaryota, Metazoa, Chordata, Actinopteri, Syngnathiformes, Syngnathidae. The record is from RefSeq and is a predicted model, not a curated record. The transcript is spliced from 3 exons.
UGAGAUCAUUUAGGACCCAAACCCUUAAAACAAGUAAAACACUCUAACAUAAAAUCUGCUUAGUGAGAAGAAUUUAUCUUAUAAGACAGAAAAUAAGCAAAAAUCAGCUUUAUUUGAGAUAUUUCAUCUGACUUAGAUUUCACAUUUUGCAGUGCACAGAUUGAGAUACACAUAUGCAAAUCAUUUUGCUCCAAUAAUAUUCCCUAGUUUAUUAUUAUUACACAGACUGCCCUUCAUAGUUAACAUGCUUCACAUAAAGUCACGAUAUCACCUGUGCACCUUUGUCAUUUCCUGCCACUCACCAUGAUGUCACCUUUAAGGAGCAGCGCCGGCUCGAUGGUCACACAAAGUCGCCUUCCCCCGCUGCCUUGAAGGUCGCUGUACACCAAACACAACACAAGCAAGUCACAUGACUAGAGAUUGCAAGAUAGACUUGGGGAGCAAAAAAAAGGACAAAGCUGACUAUGUUUAGUUCCCUGGCUGAAAAGCGGCUAACAGCUAAUUACAGUCGCCGUCAAAAGUUGACAUACUGUCACGGCGCGGAUUCGAACCCACGUCUCCUCGGCGAACAGUGCGCCAAGAGGCGCCUCUGAUGACAGCGCACUCAGACCGGCCCUCACUCGUGCUGAGUGCAGCACGCCCACGCAGCAACGAGCCCGCAGCCUAUUGUCAAUCUGCUCACCUGGUACUUAUGAGGGCAAGGCCAAUAAAGGACCAGUGGACCCAAGGAUCGGCGCGGGAACUUAGUUCUCAGAUGCGUCGUGUCACCACCGCUGCUUCCCUCCUGGCUCCCAUUUUGAACUUCCUGGAUCCCCGACCUCUGUUUUGGACUUUGGACUCGCUCUCCUGCUUUUGACCCCCUUCCGUUAUGGACUUCCCUGCCUGCCUCGCCCCGGUCUACACCACCUCCAACACUUUGGUAAGACACUUCAGUUCAUUUCCACACUUAGCCUUACACCAAUCUACCAUGAAUUGAUUAACGUGGACCCCGACUUAAACGAUUGAUUGAUACUUUUAUUAGUAGAUUGCACAGUGCAGUACAUAUUCCGUACAAUUGACCACUAAAUGGUAACACCCGAAUAAGUUUUUCAACUUGUUUAAGUCGGGGUUCACGUUAAUCA